RNAcentral lists this ribosomal RNA (384 nucleotides) under Triticum aestivum (bread wheat). RNAcentral describes it as "partial small subunit ribosomal RNA". Lineage: Eukaryota; Viridiplantae; Streptophyta; Magnoliopsida; Poales; Poaceae. The record is from RNAcentral.
AUGGGGGCCUCAACUGCUGUGCAAUGGUGGGAUGAGUGGCAGCUUCGCGUCCUGGUGUUGGGCAGUCUUGGUGUUCAGUUCUUCCUCGCUUUUUUCUCUCGCAGCCGUAAGUCCCGUAUACCCGACUGGUUCAGAUUUUCCAUAUGGCUUUCGUUCCUAGGAAGCGAUGCGCUCGCAAUAUAUGCCCUCGCCACGCUCUUCAACCUUCAAAAAAGGUCCCUAGCUGAAGACGACGGCCGUGGUUUGGAGGUCUUAUGGGCACCUGUACUUCUAAUGCACCUCGGUGGGCAGGCCGCUAUAACGGCCUACAAUAUUGAAGACAAUGAGCUAUGGAAACGGCACAUAGUUACUGCCGUGUCUCAGGUACAUACAACAUGCGCGUAG